This 488-nucleotide long non-coding RNA is filed under the name Dasypus novemcinctus (nine-banded armadillo). Its description in RNAcentral is "lncRNA (ENSDNOG00000051993.1)". The record is from RNAcentral. Lineage: Eukaryota; Metazoa; Chordata; Mammalia; Cingulata; Dasypodidae.
CCGUGGCCGCGGCCGCGGGGGAGGGGCCGGCGUCAGCGCGUCGCCGGCUGGGCCGCGCCGGUGGCCAGGAGGGAGAGACGAGGAGGAGGAGGAGGUACCUCUGUAUUAGGGUGGAUUGGACAUUUCACAGAGAGUCUUCAGUGUAUCUGGAUCAUCAGGUUGCGCUUCAAGAAGACUAUAGGGAAGAACACAUUUUCUUCUUGCCACAGAAGUUGCAAUAGAAAGGUUUCCAUCAUUUGAAGGAUUAAUGACGACCACUCUGUUGAACUUGGAAGUAUCUUGUUAAUUUAUUGAACACUGCAUUAUUGAACACUGCAUUUGAGCCUUCAGCUGGCCUGAAAAAUUUGAAUUCUAGAUAUCUCAGCCUUUGAACUAAUUUCUUACCCACAAAACCUGAGGGACUCCCAAAAUCACAGUCAAAAGGUAAGCUGCUGAUGAGGAUUUGGACAACACCCGCUGCAUUUGAAAUGCACAUGUAUGCCCACCUU